CCUUCACUCCUCCCCUCUCCUCUCCCUUUCCUCUCCUCUCCCAGAUCCAGAGACGUCGACGGGCGACGGCUCCGGCUCCGGCUCCGGCCCCGGCCCCGGCCGCGCCUCCACUUCCUCCUACCCUACCCACCCGCGGCGCGCGUACCUCUCACGGGGCUCCUCACGCUCACCCGCCCCCGACUCCCCGACUCCUACUCCUCACCUCCCUCGCCCGCAUUGCUGGCCCAAACCCUGGCUGCCGGGCACGCACCAUGCUGGAGGCCCAACCCGCCUCGUCGAGGAGGCGCACACGGUCAUGGCGUCAUCCCCAACCCUCGCAUCCACAGGAGCAGAGGUAGGGGAAGCGCAAGUUGCCGGGCUUCUUCCCCAUGGCCCCAUCCCCUGCGAGGAAGGCCGACGCCCCAGCCCUCCUUCCCUCGAACACUGGUGCCGUCCUCCACACAUCUAGCACCACCCGGUUCACGCGACGAAUGUUGGCGGCGGGUGGAGCGAUCUCCCCAAGGACGGCUGGGGAGCAGAUCGAUGGUGCCUUCGCUUCUUCUCCGUGCUCUCUGGGUAUUGGUGGUUGAUUUCGGCUUCCUCUUCAGAUCGGUGGGAAGGAAACAUCCGAACUUGCAUUGUUCAGAUUGAUUGAAUUCACGUUCUCUAGCUAGGGCUUUUCGACUUGAAGAAGGUGUGUGGCUAGGAGUGAUCUAUUCUGAACCUUUCUUGCUGGGAUGGGUGCUCGAUCCAUCUAAUUUCAUUAGGUGCAGGAUAGAUUUUUUUGGUGAGGUUAAUAUCUGAUGCUUGCUGUUAGUCUAACUGAACGAAAAUUUUAUAUUAUAAUAGACAUUGUUCAGUUAUAAGUCGGAUACAUAUACAGCACAUAUGAGCCCCUUUGUCUGCCUUUGUCUCUGCUGGAGUAGAUAGCACCACUGAAAUUGAUCUCUGGUAUUUUUUAUUCAAUUUAUUUUCACAUAUGUGCAACAUUCAGAAAAAAAAGAUACGCGGAUACUUCGCAAAACUCACGUACUGGUAUCGGAUACUGUAUCGGAUAUCCGUACACCACUGAUACUCCCGGAUACGUAUCCCGUAAGUAUCAGACUAUUUAGGUAUUUUCAAAUAAUAAAAAUAAAUCGGAUACUCGUGGGAUACCUGUGGAUACAUGUCCGAUACUUUCAAACCCUAACAUCACCAUUCAAUCGCUUCGUAUAAAGGUCCUUCGUUCAGCUGUGCCACCCUCUCAUCCCCACUCGCGCAGCCGCAGGCCCGCAGCAGCCUCGCACGGCUCCCUUGCUGUCACCUCUGCUCGACCACCCACCCACGCCUCCUCCUGCUCCUUCCUCGCUGCUCAUCGCUCCCUUGCCGUCACCGCCGCCCGGCCACCCGCUCGUGCCUCCUCCUGCUCCUUCCCCAUCGCUCGUCGCUCCCUUGCCGUCACCUCCGCCCACCCGUCCGUGCCUCCUACUGCUCCAGCGGCUGCGCGGCCUGUCCAGACAGAGGCCCGCACAUCUGUUAAAGCACUAUUUAGGGGUGGUGCUGCGCUGCUGGAGCUUGCCGCUGGCGGGCCGCCACGGCCGCCGGAGUGCGCCUCUGGACGGCCCGCGCGGCCGCUAGAGAGGGAGAGGAUGAGCCGCGGCCUCCGGAGAGGGAGAGGAGGAGCCGCGGCCGCCGGAGUUGGCCGCUACACAGAGAAAGAGAGAGAGAGAGAGAGAGUGAGUGCCGGAGGUUAGGGAAGAAGACGAUCGACAUCCAUUCGUGGAACAGACGAACAGGUUGGGCACUUAUGGUUUGGCUGAAUCGCAAAUAGAGGGGGGUGGAAAUUGUCAGAACUCAUGUGCAUCAAUUAUUGUUUGUUCGUGACUUACAAGUGGAGAAGUGCCUUUGAGCCUAUCAUUCAGAAGUGCCUUUUGAGCCUAUCAUUCAGAUAAGUUUCCAAUUCAUUCCAAGGCAUUGUAAUUAUUAUACAUUUAUUCAGUUUUUCAAUCAGUUUGAGUAGAAUCAUGUUUAAGCUGCAUUAGAAGUUCUUUCCCCUGUUGGGAUCUGUUUUUUUUUUCACUUACCUCUUUUCAUAAUUUGGAUAUCCUUGUUAUUUUUAGCACGGCAUUAUCUUGGAUGUGGUAGGUUCCAACACUUGAAGAUAAACUUACCUCUUUUCAUAAUUUGGAUAUCAUUGUUAUUUUUAGCACUGCAUCAUGUUAUUCUGAAGUUUCAACUUACCUAUUCAUAACUAAAUAUUUGAACUAGUAGUCGGAAUCAGUUCCAGAAUUAGCUAGGUUUAGGAUCAUGGAUGCUAAUUUUUGUUUCUGAAUCUCUCUUGUUGAAAUCUGUAGGAUAGUAUGAGGUGUUGGCGUGGCUAUAAGGAGGACUCGAGUUCUUUGCUGCUCUCAGUGUGCCCGUCACUGUGAAUGACAAGGCCUCCAAGAUCCCAUUUGCUGUGGUGCUCUUUGCAGAGAUGAUUAUGUGACAUAUGCUACUGGACUUCUGGAUCAAACUAUCAGAUGAUCCAGUAAGUAGUAUUCACCAGCAUGGCUCAAAGUGAAAAGUCAAGGUUUAGUUUAGAAUGGCAUGAGGUCCAUCUUAUGUACUAAUUCAGAUUAGUAGUGUUAGGAUCUAUUGAAAAUAAGGUAGCAGAUUAGAGGAGACGAUGUAUAUAUGAGCACAAAUGUAUGGAUAGAUGUAUGUAUGUGUGAUAAGAGGAGGCACUAUGAUGUAUAUGUGGCCUAUUUUUUUGUUAAUUUUCGUCACCUA
This is an RNA transcript of Panicum virgatum (switchgrass), 2730 nucleotides long. It is a transcript of the gene named serine carboxypeptidase 1-like, with no coding region annotated. NCBI's taxonomy places the organism in Eukaryota, Viridiplantae, Streptophyta, Magnoliopsida, Poales, Poaceae. The record is from RefSeq and is a predicted model, not a curated record. The transcript is spliced from 4 exons.